AAAAUGCACAUACUGUGAGCUCGAUGAGUAGGGCGGGACACGUGGUAUCCUGUCUGAAUAUGGGGGGACCAUCCUCCAAGGCUAAAUACUCCUGACUGACCGAUAGUGAACCAGUACCGUGAGGGAAAGGCGAAAAGAACCCCGGCGAGGGGAGUGAAAAAGAACCUGAAACCGUGUACGUACAAGCAGUGGGAGCCUCUUAAUGGGGUGACUGCGUACCUUUUGUAUAAUGGGUCAGCGACUUAUAUUCUGUAGCAAGGUUAACCGAAUAGGGGAGCCGAAGGGAAACCGAGUCUUAACUGGGCGUUAAGUUGCAGGGUAUAGACCCGAAACCCGGUGAUCUAGCCAUGGGCAGGUUGAAGGUUGGGUAACACUAACUGGAGGACCGAACCGACUAAUGUUGAAAAAUUAGCGGAUGACUUGUGGCUGGGGGUGAAAGGCCAAUCAAACCGGGAGAUAGCUGGUUCUCCCCGAAAGCUAUUUAGGUAGCGCCUCGUGAAUUCAUCUCCGGGGGUAGAGCACUGUUUCGGCAAGGGGGUCAUCCCGACUUACCAACCCGAUGCAAACUGCGAAUACCGGAGAAUGUUAUCACGGGAGACACACGGCGGGUGCUAACGUCCGUCGUGAAGAGGGAAACAACCCAGACCGCCAGCUAAGGUCCCAAAGUCAUGGUUAAGUGGGAAACGAUGUGGGAAGGCCCAGACAGCCAGGAUGUUGGCUUAGAAGCAGCCAUCAUUUAAAGAAAGCGUAAUAGCUCACUGGUCGAGUCGGCCUGCGCGGAAGAUGUAACGGGGCUAAACCAUG
This 804-nucleotide ribosomal RNA is filed under the name Escherichia coli. Its description in RNAcentral is "partial 23S ribosomal RNA". It matches the Rfam family "Bacterial large subunit ribosomal RNA", at positions 382 to 1191 of the family's 2925-position model. The record is from RNAcentral. Lineage: Bacteria; Pseudomonadati; Pseudomonadota; Gammaproteobacteria; Enterobacterales; Enterobacteriaceae.